AAUUUGAAAUCUGGCGUCUUUGGCGUCCGAGUUGUAAUUUGCAGAGGGCGCUUUGGCAUUGGCAGCGGUCCAAGUUCCUUGGAACAGGACGUCACAGAGGGUGAGAAUCCCGUACGUGGUCGCUAGCCUUUACCGUGUAAAGCCCCUUCGACGAGUCGAGUUGUUUGGGAAUGCAGCUCUAAAUGGGAGGUAAAUUUCUUCUAAAGCUAAAUACUGGCCAGAGACCGAUAGCGCACAAGUAGAGUGAUCGAAAGAUGAAAAGCACUUUGGAAAGAGAGUUAAAAAGCACGUGAAAUUGUUGAAAGGGAAGCGCUUGCAGCCAGACUUGCCUGUAGUUGCUCAUCCGGGUUUUUACCCGGUGCACUCUUCUACGGGCAGGCCAGCAUCAGUUUGGGCGGUUGGAUAAAGGUCUCUGUCAUGUACCUCCUCUCGGGGAGAUCUUAUAGGGGAGACGACAUGCAACCAGCCUGGACUGAGGUCCGCGCAUCUGCUAGGAUGCUGGCGUAAUGGCUGUAAGCGGCC
RNAcentral lists this ribosomal RNA (522 nucleotides) under Epicoccum sp. PQM05. Its description in RNAcentral is "eukaryotic LSU rRNA". It matches the Rfam family "Eukaryotic large subunit ribosomal RNA", at positions 112 to 649 of the family's 3401-position model. The record is from RNAcentral. Lineage: Eukaryota; Fungi; Ascomycota; Dothideomycetes; Pleosporales; Didymellaceae.